GCAGCAGCCACGGUAAUACCAGCACCUCGAGUGGUCAGGAGGUUUAUUGGGCCUAAAGCAUCCGUAGCCGGUUGCAUAAGUUUUCGGUUAAAUCUAUGCGCUUAACGUAUAGGCCGCCGAAAAUACUGUGCAGCUAGGGAGUGGGAGAGGUACACGGUACUCGAUAGGAAGGGGUAAAAUCCUUUGAUCUAUUGAUGACCACCUGUGGCGAAGGCGGUGUACCAGAACACGUUCGACGGUGAGGGGUGAAAGCUGGGGGAGCAAACCGGAUUAGAUACCCCAGUAGUCCCUGUCUCUUAUAC
Molecule: ribosomal RNA, 302 nt
Filed under: uncultured bacterium
Lineage: Bacteria
Description: partial 16S ribosomal RNA
Rfam family: Archaeal small subunit ribosomal RNA
Source: RNAcentral